CUAAUGUUUCCAGUUUAAUCUGGAAAUUGUUAGAAAUAACUCCAGUUAACUUGUAGAAAACAUUGUUUUCUCCAAAAGCUUCCUAGUCAGAAGGAAAAAAAACAAUGAAGAUUAAAUAGUACACUUAUUUGACUUGUAACAAUUAUAUUCAGAACUGAGCUUAUGUCCAAUAAGCAGAACCCAAUCAGUACAGUAAAAAUUGCUGUUCCUGACACUUAUACAGCACUUUAAACUUUUCAGGCAGUUGGAUAAAUAAAUGUUCCCCACUCUUGUGCUCUCUGAUCCCAGCAAGGAGAACCUGCCCCUUACGUGACCAUAUUUCUGACCAUUGGAAGAUGCAGCCUCAGCUGACCAAGACCUGGGGAUUUCAGACAAGUGGAAUGAAAGCAUUUUCAGUGUGAAAAUCCCUGGAUUUCCUAUUCCAUUAUCUCUAAUAAGUGCAUCCAGAAGAUAAACGAAGAAGGCUUACAUAUCAGACUUAAGCUGUGGUGGAUGGGUCAUCUGCUAUCAGGUGGAGAAGGUGUCUCAGGCAGGUUUUCUUUCCCUUAGCUGAACCAUCACCAAGGACUCUACCCCUCAAAAUCCUCCUGGAAAAAUUCCACUCUCUGCCUGUCUCACACAGCAUCCCCAUGGAGCUGGAUCAAGUGGACUGGAGGGGACCCAGAAAACUUUGUACAGGCUCUUGGAUCAGGGCUUCAAGACACUAGAAACCUACACGAACAUUGGUGGAUACUGGAAGCCCCAGGGACCAGGAAACAAACAAGUUAAUGAAGUAAGAUCUCUUAGUUCCUUUGGAACUUUCCAGGCCUCUUGGGACAAUUUAUUUCCUCUAAGCAUUCUUUUUCUUAGGCACAUUAUA
This 859-nucleotide long non-coding RNA is filed under the name Felis catus (domestic cat). RNAcentral's name for it is "lncRNA (ENSFCAG00000041407.2)". The record is from RNAcentral. Lineage: Eukaryota; Metazoa; Chordata; Mammalia; Carnivora; Felidae.